GGGUUUCGNUCGUAAANUCUGUUGUUAAAGAAGACANAUCUGAGAGNNNUNUCAGGUAUGACGGUAUUAACCAGAAAGCCACGGCUAACUACGUGCCAGCAGCCGCGGUAAUACGUAGGUGGCAAGCGUUGUCCGGAUUUAUUGGGCGUAAAGCGAGCGCAGGCGGUUUUUUAAGUCUGAUGUGAAAGCUUUCGGCUCAACCGAAGAAGUGCAUCGGAAACUGGGAAACUUGAGUGCAGAAGAGGACAGUGGAACUCCAUGUGUAGCGGUGAAAUGCGUAGAUAUAUGGAAGAACACCAGUGGCGAAGGCGGCUGUCUGGUCUGUAACUGACGCUGAGGCUCGAAAGUAUGGGUAGCAAACAGGAUUAGAUACCCUGGUAGUCCAUACCGUAAACGAUGAAUGCUAAGUGUUGGAGGGUUUCCGCCCUUCAGUGCUGCAGCUAACGCAUUAAGCAUUCCGCCUGGGGAGUACGGCCGCAAGGCUGAAACUCAAAGGAAUUGACGGGGGCCCGCACAAGCGGUGGAGCAUGUGGUUUAAUUCGAAGCUACGCGAAGAACCUUACCAGGUCUUGACAUACUAUGCAAAUCUAAGAGAUUAGACGUUCCCUUCGGGGACAUGGAUACAGGUGGUGCAUGGUUGUCGUCAGCUCGUGUCGUGAGAUGUUGG
This 667-nucleotide ribosomal RNA is filed under the name Lactiplantibacillus plantarum. RNAcentral's name for it is "bacterial SSU rRNA". It matches the Rfam family "Bacterial small subunit ribosomal RNA", at positions 413 to 1078 of the family's 1533-position model. The record is from RNAcentral. Lineage: Bacteria; Bacillati; Bacillota; Bacilli; Lactobacillales; Lactobacillaceae.